UAGUCCACGCCGUAAACGAUGGUUACUAGCUGUUCGGACUUCGGUCUGAGUGGCUAAGCGAAAGUGAUAAGUAACCCACCUGGGGAGUACGUUCGCAAGAAUGAAACUCAAAGGAAUUGACGGGGGCCCGCACAAGCGGAGGAGCAUGUGGUUUAAUUCGAUGAUACGCGAGGAACCUUACCUGAACUUAAAUGGCGAACGACAGUCGUGGAAACAUGACUUUCUUUUAGACGUUCGUCAAGGUGCUGCAUGGUUGUCGUCAGCUCGUGCCGUGAGGUGUUGGGUUAAGUCCCGCAACGAGCGCAACCCCUAUCGUUAGUUGCCAUCAGUUAGGCUGGGGACUCUAACGAGACUGCCUGCGCAAGCAGUGAGGAAGGCGGGGAUGACGUCAAAUCAUCAUGGCCCUUACGUUCAGGGCUACACACGUGCUACAAUGGCAGGUACAGCGGGUAGCUACCACGCAAGUGGAUGCUAAUCUCGAAAGCCUGUCUCAGUUCGGAUCGG
RNAcentral lists this ribosomal RNA (504 nucleotides) under uncultured bacterium. Its description in RNAcentral is "bacterial SSU rRNA". It matches the Rfam family "Bacterial small subunit ribosomal RNA", at positions 791 to 1301 of the family's 1533-position model. The record is from RNAcentral.